This is a non-coding RNA of Leptospira licerasiae serovar Varillal, 392 nucleotides long. The record is from Rfam. NCBI's taxonomy places the organism in Bacteria, Pseudomonadati, Spirochaetota, Leptospiria, Leptospirales, Leptospiraceae.
GAAGGUCUGCCGGAUGGUCGCGCUUUCUUUUCUGAUCGAGUGGAUUUCCCCUCAUUCGGGAAGUUUGUGAGGAAAGUCCGGACACCAUAGAACCGCGGGACCGGGUAAUUCCCGGAGUUCGGGAUCGUAAGAAACCGGAUAUGGAAAGUGCAGCAGAAAAUAUACCGCUAGUUUUCUAGUAAGGGUGAAAUGGCGGGGUAAGAGCCCACCGCCGCUUUUGUGAAAAGGCGGGCAAUGUAAACCCUCCCGGGUGCAAUCUCGAAUAGGCGGCCAUCGUUGGUUCUGCAGGGCCGCGGGUAGAGAGCAAAGAGUCUUUUCGGUAACUGAAAGACCAAGAUAAAUGAUCAUCGCUCGAAAGAGUACAAAAUCCGGCUUACAGGCAACCUUCCACU